This 60-nucleotide transfer RNA is filed under the name Thaumamermis cosgrovei. RNAcentral's name for it is "tRNA-Asn". The record is from RNAcentral. Lineage: Eukaryota; Metazoa; Nematoda; Enoplea; Mermithida; Mermithidae.
AAUAAGAAAUUUUCAUAAGUUCAAACAUAAAAUUGUUACUUUUAUUAGAAUAGCUUAAGU